RNAcentral lists this transfer RNA (91 nucleotides) under Thalassotalea sp. ND16A. RNAcentral describes it as "tRNA-Ser". It matches the Rfam family "tRNA". From Rfam's summary of the family: Transfer RNA (tRNA) molecules are approximately 80 nucleotides in length. Their secondary structure includes four short double-helical elements and three loops (D, anti-codon, and T loops). Further hydrogen bonds mediate the characteristic L-shaped molecular structure. tRNAs have two regions of fundamental functional importance: the anti-codon, which is responsible for specific mRNA codon recognition, and the 3' end, to which the tRNAs corresponding amino acid is attached (by aminoacyl-tRNA synthetases). tRNAs cope with the degeneracy of the genetic code in two manners: having more than one tRNA (with a specific anti-codon) for a particular amino acid; and 'wobble' base-pairing, i.e. permitting non-standard base-pairing at the 3rd anti-codon position. RNAcentral also lists the same sequence under 7 other names. The record is from RNAcentral. Lineage: Bacteria; Pseudomonadati; Pseudomonadota; Gammaproteobacteria; Alteromonadales; Colwelliaceae.
GGUGAGAUGGCUGAGUGGUCGAAAGCACCGGUCUUGAAAACCGGCAUGGGUUUGUAGCCCAUCUAGAGUUCAAAUCUCUAUCUCACCGCCA